CCUACGGGAGGCUGCAGUAGGGAAUCUUUCACAAUGGGCGAAAGCCUGAUGGAGCAACGCCGCGUGCAGGAUGAUGGCCUUCGGGUUGUAAACUGCUUUUAUAAGCGAGAAAUAUGAUGGUAACUUAUGAAUAAGGAUCGGCUAACUACGUGCCAGCAGCCGCGGUCAUACGUAGGAUCCGAGCAUUAUCCGGAGUGACUGGGUGUAAAGAGUUGCGUAGGUGGCAUAAUAAGUAGCUAGUGAAAUCUGGUGGCUCAACCAUUCAGACUAUUAGCUAAACUGUUAAGCUCGAGACCGUUAGGGGUAACAGGAAUUUCUGGUGUAGGAGUGAAAUGCGUAGAUAUUAGAAGGAACACCAAUAGCGUAGGCAGGUUACUGGGACGGUUCUGACGCUGAGGCACGAAAGCGUAGGGAGCAAACGGGAUUAGAUACCCGAGUAGUC
This 442-nucleotide ribosomal RNA is filed under the name uncultured bacterium. RNAcentral's name for it is "partial 16S ribosomal RNA". It matches the Rfam family "Bacterial small subunit ribosomal RNA", at positions 338 to 795 of the family's 1533-position model. The record is from RNAcentral.